This is a non-coding RNA of Salvia hispanica, 186 nucleotides long. Lineage: Eukaryota; Viridiplantae; Streptophyta; Magnoliopsida; Lamiales; Lamiaceae. The record is from RefSeq and is a predicted model, not a curated record.
CCGGAGUUCCAGAUGCUGGUCGACAGUGGGUCUUCAUUCUCAUUUCUUCCAGCACAAAUUUUUGAAAAGGUGGCUAAUGAGUUUGACAGCCAAGUAAAUGCUUCAAAAUCAAGCUUUGAAGGAUACCCAUGGAAGUACUGCUACAAAUCCAGUUCUGAUGGGGUGCCUAAGCUUCCUUCUUUCACU